GAGCGGGGAAGGGUAGCUUGCUACCCAACCUAGCGGCGGACGGGUGAGUAAUGCUUAGGAAUCUGCCUAUUAGUGGGGGACAACGUUUCGAAAGGAACGCUAAUACCGCAUACGCCCUACGGGGGAAAGCAGGGGCUCUUCGGACCUUGCGCUAAUAGAUGAGCCUAAGUCAGAUUAGCUAGUUGGUGGGGUAAAGGCCUACCAAGGCGACGAUCUGUAGCGGGUCUGAGAGGAUGAUCCGCCACACUGGGACUGAGACACGGCCCAGACUCCUACGGGAGGCAGCAGUGGGGAAUAUUGGACAAUGGGGGGAACCCUGAUCCAGCCAUGCCGCGUGUGUGAAGAAGGCCUUUUGGUUGUAAAGCACUUUAAGCGAGGAGGAGGCUCCUAUAGAUAAUACCUAUAGUGAGUGGACGUUACUCGCAGAAUAAGCACCGGCUAACUCUGUGCCAGCAGCCGCGGUAAUACAGAGGGUGCGAGCGUUAAUCGGAUUUACUGGGCGUAAAGCGUACGUAGGCGGCUUUUUAAGUCGGAUGUGAAAUCCCUGAGCUUAACUUAGGAAUUGCAUUCGAUACUGGGAAGCUAGAGUAUGGGAGAGGAUGGUAGAAUUCCAGGUGUAGCGGUGAAAUGCGUAGAGAUCUGGAGGAAUACCGAUGGCGAAGGCAGCCAUCUGGCCUAAUACUGACGCUGAGGUACGAAAGCAUGGGGAGCAAACAGGAUUAGAUACCCUGGUAGUCCAUGCCGUAAACGAUGUCUACUAGCCGUUGGGGCCUUUGAGGCUUUAGUGGCGCAGCUAACGCGAUAAGUAGACCGCUGGGGAGUACGGUCGCAAGACUAAAACUCAAAUGAAUUGACGGGGGCCCGCACAAGCGGUGGAGCAUGUGGUUUAAUUCGAUGCAACGCGAAGAACCUUACCUGGUCUUGACAUAGUAAGAACUUUCCAGAGAUGGAUUGGUGCCUUCGGGAACUUACAUACAGGUGCUGCGAUGGCUGUGUUUAGCUCGUGUCGUGAGAUGUUGGGUUAAGUCCCGCAACGAGCGCAACCCUUUUCCUUAUUUGCCAGCGGGUUAAGCCGGGAACUUUAAGGAUACUGCCAGUGACAAACUGGAGGAAGGCGGGGACGACGUCAAGUCAUCAUGGCCCUUACGACCAGGGCUACACACGUGCUACAAUGGUCGGUACAAAGGGUUGCUACCUAGCGAUAGGAUGCUAAUCUCAAAAAGCCGAUCGUAGUCCGGAUUGGAGUCUGCAACUCGACUCCAUGAAGUCGGAAUCGCUAGUAAUCGCGGAUCAGAAUGCCGCGGUGAAUACGUUCCCGGGCCUUGUACACACCGCCCGUCACACCAUGGGAAUUUGUUGCACCAGUAAGUAGGUAGUCUAACCGCAAGG
This 1389-nucleotide ribosomal RNA is filed under the name bacterium 14W533. RNAcentral describes it as "bacterial SSU rRNA". It matches the Rfam family "Bacterial small subunit ribosomal RNA". The record is from RNAcentral.